This 1052-nucleotide long non-coding RNA is filed under the name Lonchura striata (white-rumped munia). RNAcentral describes it as "domestica (Bengalese finch) lncRNA (ENSLSDG00000002973.1)". Lineage: Eukaryota; Metazoa; Chordata; Aves; Passeriformes; Estrildidae. The record is from RNAcentral.
NNNNNNNNNNAGCUCCAGGUCGCCCUCGGGGCCAUCCUGACCCGGAUCCAGCGGCUGUGAGUGACCCGCGACCCCCCCAAAAUAUGGGACCCCCACCCAAAAAAAUAUGGGACCACCCAAACAAAAUAUGGGACCACCUCAGAAAAAAUAUGGGACUACCCAAAAAAAAAUAUGGGACCACCCCCAAAAAAAUAUGGGACCACCUCAGAAAAAAUAUGGGACCACCCCAAAAAAAAAUAUGGGACUACCCAAAAAAAUAUGGGACCACCUAAAAGAAUAUGGGACCACCCAAAAAAAAAUAUGGGACCACCCCCAAAAAAAUAUGGGACUACCCAAAAAAAUAUGGGACCACCCAAAAGAAUCUGGGACCACCUCAGAAAAAAUAUGGGACCACCCAAAAAAAAUAUGGGACUACCCAAAAGAAUAUGGGACCACCCCAAAAAAAAUAUGGGACUACCCAAAAAAAUAUGGGACUACCCAAAAAAAUAUGGGACCCCCCCCAAAAUAUGGGACCACCCAAAAAAAUAUGGGACCACCCAAAAAAAAUAUGGGACCACCCACAAAAAAAUAUGGGACCUCCCAAAAGAAUCUGGGACCACCCCCAAAAAAAAUAUGGGACCACCUCAGAAAAAAUAUGGGACUACCCAAAAAAAUAUGGGACCACCCAAAAGAAUCUGGGACCACCCAAAAGAAUCUGGGACCACCCCCAAAAAAAUAUGGGACCACCCCAAAAAAAUAUGGGACCACCUAAAAGAAUAUGGGACCACCCCCCAAAAAAAUAUGGGACCCCCCCCAAAAAAAAUAUGGGACCACCCAAAAAAAUAUGGGACCACCCCCAAAAAAAUAUGGGACCACCCAAAAGAAUGUGGGACCACGCACAAAAAAAUAUGGGACCACCCAAAAGAAUAUGGGACCACCCCAAAAAAAUAUGGGACUACCCAAAAAAAUAUGGGACUACCCAAAAAAAUAUGGGACCACCUCAGAAAAAUAUGGGACUACCCAAAAAAAAUAUGGGACCACCCAAAAAAAUAUGGGACCACCCAAAAGAAUCU